Oryzias melastigma (Indian medaka) is the source of this 353-nucleotide long non-coding RNA. RefSeq lists it as uncharacterized. Lineage: Eukaryota; Metazoa; Chordata; Actinopteri; Beloniformes; Adrianichthyidae. The transcript has 2 exons. The record is from RefSeq and is a predicted model, not a curated record.
AGUAAAUAACUCCUAAGGAUUCAUAAGAGGAACAACUUUAAAGGAAAGAGUUGAGUGAGAGCCUGCUGUCACAGGUACUAUCCUGCAGUUCUUACCUGGAAGCGGAGGAUGAUGGUCCAGAUCAGUCCCAGAGUGAGGCGGUGGUUCCCAUCAACAAUGUCGUGGGAGCCCAUGUUCUCCAGGUGGACCCGCUGCUCCUUCAGGAACUGCAGAGCCUUGUCCACAUUUUCCAGACAGUGGAUCCUCAUCCGACCCUUUGUGGGUUUGGGCUGAACAACAGAAGAGGACAACGCUGAUUAAAAACGCAGCAUGAAGAAAAGGCUGCAGAUGCUGAUAAACACUUUGAGAACCAA